This 368-nucleotide ribosomal RNA is filed under the name uncultured bacterium. RNAcentral describes it as "bacterial SSU rRNA". It matches the Rfam family "Bacterial small subunit ribosomal RNA", at positions 527 to 892 of the family's 1533-position model. The record is from RNAcentral.
GGGGGGGGCAAGCGUUGUUCGGAAUUACUGGGCGUAAAGGGCUCGUAGGCGGCCAACUAAGUCGGAUGUGAAAUCCCCAGGCUUAACCUGGGAACUGCAUCCGAUACUGGAUGGCUUGAAUUCGGGAGAGGGAUGCAGAAUUCCAGGUGUAGCGGUGAAAUGCGUAGAUAUCUGGAGGAAUACCGGUGGCGAAGGCGGCAUCCUGGACCGACAUUGACGCUGAGUGAGCGAAAGCUAGGGGAGCAAACGGGAUUAGAUACCCCGGUAGUCCUAGCCCUAAACGAUGAAUGCUUGGUGUGGCGGGUAUCGAUCCCUGCCGUGCCGAAGCUAACGCAUUAAGCAUUCCGCCUGGGGAGUACGGUCGCAAG